UACGGAGGGUGCAAGCGUUAUCCGGAUUUAUUGGGUUUAAAGGGUCCGUAGGCGGAUCUGUAAGUCAGUGGUGAAAUCUCACAGCUCAACUGUGAAACUGCCAUUGAUACUGCAGGUCUUGAGUGUUGUUGAAGUAGCUGGAAUAAGUAGUGUAGCGGUGAAAUGCAUAGAUAUUACUUAGAACACCAAUUGCGAAGGCAGGUUACUAAGCAACAACUGACGCUGAUGGACGAAAGCGUGGGGAGCGAACAGG
RNAcentral lists this ribosomal RNA (253 nucleotides) under uncultured bacterium. RNAcentral's name for it is "partial 16S ribosomal RNA". It matches the Rfam family "Bacterial small subunit ribosomal RNA", at positions 524 to 776 of the family's 1533-position model. The record is from RNAcentral.